This is a long non-coding RNA of Hirundo rustica (Barn swallow), 2385 nucleotides long. RefSeq lists it as uncharacterized. The record is from RefSeq and is a predicted model, not a curated record. The transcript is spliced from 4 exons. NCBI's taxonomy places the organism in Eukaryota, Metazoa, Chordata, Aves, Passeriformes, Hirundinidae.
GGAGCCCCUGGAGAAGCUGUACCAGGUGGGCUUGCUGCUGCUGGAGACCUGGAGGAUGACAGCAAGGAUGAGAACCUCUUCCUGCACCUGGCCACCAACAGCUGAAGAUGCCGGACUUGGAUUCUGGCCCUUUCUUCAAAGCCGGGCUCCACAGCGAAUUUGCAGAUGAGUGCACACCCGGGUGGAUGCUCCCAGAUUUGGGCAUUGCUCAGCCUGGCCAGGAACCAAAGGUUCCCCCCUUUGCUGGGGUGGAUGCAACUGAUCCUUCAGUCGGCUGCCUUGCUGCUUUUUGGCAGGGCUGGGGAGAUGGGCUGGGCUGGUUACCAAAUGGGAGUUGGCUCCUGGCCCUGCCAACAGCCCCCACCACGCACCGUGCCCCAGGCUGGGGCUGGGGCUGGGGCAGCCAGCCCAACACAAACAAACGCCCAUGGUGGGGGCAGAGGUGGGUCUCCAGAACCUGUCCAUGGGCGGCUCUGCUUUGCAGGCAAGGAAGGGCUUGGGCUGCUCCACUGCCCUUGGUUGCUUUGGGAUCUCUAGGGGGGCAGUGCAGGGGGGAUGGGAGAGAACAUGGGCUUCCCUCUCACCCGUGGGUGGGUUUUUCCCCAGCAUGUAGGGGUUGGGCCUUUCUCAAGCCCCUGACAGAUACAAGAUCUUUUACCAUUUUUCUUGUUUCCCCUUUUUGUCUGUAAUCAAUUUUCAGUAGUUUGUUGUUUGUUUUUCUAAAGGAAGUGUUCUAGGUAGUGUCCGGUCUGGAUUGGGAAGUGCUUGGGAGCAGCUGUGGCGUGGAUGGGCCGUGCCCUUGGGGAAGGCUGAGGACAUCGUUUGGGAGCAGCUUUUCUUGAGGCAGCAGAUGGCGUGAGCCGGGCUCUGCGGAUGCUGAGGCUGCUCUGGGCUCUGCCAGGGCUCUGCUGGGCUCAGCCCUGGGCACGGCUGGGCUCGCUCUGCCCUCACAUUGCUCUGACAGCUUUGCACCAGACGAGCCCUUUCCAAGCACAGUGCCUGAGCUUUCUGCUUUUGCAGAAGUGCCACGAGUGGGCGAAACCUGGCGAGUGGGCCGUGUUCCUGAGACAGUGUGAUCUGGAGUUAAUGGCUGAAGAAUUGCCCUUCUGCACUUGUAAACCAGAGCAAAAAGCUAUAACGUUUUAUAAAAGGAAUGUCCUUUGCUGCUGGUUCCCAUGUGGAGCAGCUCCCUUCCCGCUGGCUGAGCUGCUCAGGGAGAGCUUGGCAGCUCCUGGCCCUGCAGGGCUGAGGCUUUUCCCCGUUGCUGAGCACAGACUGAUGGAGCAGCACUGCUGAACAUGAGGACACCCAGAGGGAGCAGAAGCAGCUGCCUUUGUCCACCUGAAGCUCCAAGGCCCAAACUCUGAGCACACAGGGCUGGAAGAGACUGGCAGGCUCCCUGUUUGCUGUGCUGCCCCACUUGUGCCUGGCCCAGCUCUGCGUGAGGCUGAGGGAGAACAAGGGGCAGCUCCCUGCCAGCCCCAGCCCAGGGACCCCUCCGGCCCCAGGGCUUGGGGCGCUGUCAGCACCCGCUGCUCCAGCCACCGCUUCUGCUGGCCCUGACAGCAACAAGCAAAUUGUGGCUGAUCCCCAGGGAGCAGCAGCAGUGCCUGCAUCUGAUCCCUCACUCUGGCGCAGGGCUGGACAAAGGACCCCCACAGCAGCAGCAGCACAUGGAGCUGACUUUCAGCACAGCCCCUGCCACUGUUCCCUCCCGUGUGCACUGGUGUCACAGCAGCCUGAGGCACCUGGGAGCCCUCAGGGCCAGCAGGGACUUGAGAUGGCAGCCCUGGGCUCCUGGGGGUUGUGCAAGGAACAGAGGUGGGGGCUCCUUCUCCACCUAGAGCUUCCAGAUGGAAAAGGCUGCUGUGAGCAGGCAGCUCCAAGGGCAGAGAAAGGAGGGUCUGGACCUCUGGAUCUGUGCCAGUUCAGCAUUGCUGAGCCUCCCCUUUUGUGCUCCUUUCCUGCUUUGAACUGGAGUAAAUGACACUGAUUCCUUCAGGUGGUGUGUGUGUCUUUGGUGCUGACCCUGCCCACUGGUUAAACAACACUGGCACAGUCUGGCCAGAUCACACCAAAAUGUCUCUUUUUCAAUGUAAAUGUGAGGAACCAGUCCCCUCCAAAAUUCUGGGAUGGGAAAACCUUCUUUAGUGGUCACUGGCUCUGGAGUGGACUGAGGUCUGAGCACUGUGCAAGCCAUGGGGGAGUCGCUCCAAAGAAGCUGAAGCACUGGAUGUAUUAAAAUGCAUCCAGAAAUUGCAUAUGGAGAAAGGGAAAGAACUUGUGGGUUUGGAAGAAAAAGCUGAAUUUUGUUUAUGAGGACACUGGAAACAGCACUAACAGAAGGAACAAUUCUUGUUGGAACCCUCCAACAUGGAGCGACAG